Molecule: long non-coding RNA, 3422 nt
Filed under: Homo sapiens (human)
Lineage: Eukaryota; Metazoa; Chordata; Mammalia; Primates; Hominidae
Description: HSALNT0348788
Source: RNAcentral
GCCACACCAUGGCUUUUUUGGCUUUUUUUCUUCUCCCUCAAGGACCUCUGCUUUGGUGAAUUCUUGCCAAAAUGAACCUCAGAGACAUACAUCUAAGGACCUUGCGUGCACCAAAGAGGGUGGGUGGAGGGGGCAGAGCUUCCUGGGGGUCCACUCUAGGGCCUGCAGGAGGCCUGACCUUGGGCAGACAGCCCUAGCCUCAGCUCUUCUUAUAGCUCCCCUGCUCUUUCCUCUUCUUGAACUGCUGGGUGCCAGCAUCAGUUCAGCUCUUUCCCCCCACCCUCUGCUCAAGGCCUAGGAGGACAGCAGCUGUCCCUACUUGCUGCACUGUGGGGAGGCGCCUGUGCUCACUGCUCUGCUGUUGAAGAGCUCAGUGAAGCAUAUGAUGUGACUGUGGAUAUCCAACUGCUUUAGCUGACAUCUUGGAAGGAAAGCAGGAGAGAGACCUGGGCCCUGACCUUCCUUCGUCACCAUCAGCUUGUGACAUCUUCUCAGGCCAGCCCUAGCCAACUCUGUGACUGUUUCCACAGGUGUCGAUGUUGGCAUCAUGUCUAACUUCUGCUGCUUCCCAAGGUCGCCAUGAUCAUCUCAUUAGUGAGCAGAUGUAAAGUAUUUGUAAAAAGGCAUCAUACAAAAACAAAGUUCAUUGUUAUUCAUCCUUUUCCUUCCCAAAUACACUAGACUUCUUUAAAACAUUAAAGCAAAGUGAGGCCAAGCUGUUUACUUGUUUAACCUAAUAUGAAGGGCCACUGCAAAGCCUGAGGCUCAAAGGUAAGAUUCACAGCCAGGUGCAGUGCCUCCCGCCUGUAAUCCCAGCACUUUGGGAGGCCAAGGCAGGAGGAUUACUUGAGGCCAGGAGUUCGAGACUAGCCUGGGCAACAUAGUGAGACCCUGUCUCUACAAAAAUAAAAAAAAUUAGCCAGGCAUGGUGGUGAGCGCCUGUAGUUUCCAGCUACUCAGGAGGCAGAGGUGGGAGGAUCACUUGAGCCCAAGAAUUUAAGGUUGCAGUGAGCCAUGAUUGCACCACUGCAUUCUAGCCUGGUGACAGAGUGAGACCUCAUCUCAAAAAAGGUAGGAUUCACAACAUGUUUUGAAAUCCUACAGAGUUCCUGAAGACACACACACACACACACACACACACACACACACACACACACUAGAUGUGAUAUGUGGUUAAUGGAAAAAUAGCAUCAGAGACACCGCAUUCAUUAACAGAAAUGAAUUUCGUUUGGCAUUUUCUUCUUUGGUCUUCUUGAUAUCUAUCUUAUAGCUACAUGCAGCACCUGUGGGCUGAUAAAUAAUGUAGUCAAAGAAUUCUGCAAAUCCAGAAAGGUCACUGUUUAUACAUCAUCUGUCUGUCAAGUAAAAUUCUUGGUUCAAAGCAAAAAAGCAAGUUUAUUUUGGGAAUUGGUAACUUGGAAUAACAGCUGCAAAAAGAAAUGAGAAAUAAAGACCCAUCACUUAAUUCUUUUUCUAAAUAUUCAUCUGAAGCCAAAUUUCAUCAAAUUUGAUUGGUUUUAAGGAGAAAAAUCUUGCCAGAUGGAAACAUGAAGAUUGGAAAAGCAACAGAACUUGGAUUUCAGAACUGUGGGGGAUUUAUAGAAGCAUUUGUUAACAACUGAGGAUAUGCACAGCCUGGGUGGGUGUCAGCUCAACUGUGUGACCUGGUGUCCCCAGCCCAGCCAUCCUUGUCUGCACAGCUGAGGAGGUUAAUGAUGAUGGAGAGACUUAGGGGUACUCCCCGCACUCUCUCCUGAGAUCCCAGAGCAAUCCUGAUUGUGGCCGUAAAUAUUUAUGUAGAACCAUCGCUUCUCGCCUCCAAGCUGGGAAUGACUUCGCAUUGAACUUCAGCCCUGCCUGCCCCAGAUUGACCGUGGCUUCCUGAAUCUUACAUUGCAGCAGCUCCUUCCUGCCCACUUUCUCCCUGUGCUAUCAGGGUGACCUGCAGCAAAUGUUCUCACACAGAAUCCUCAAACAACCUCCAGCACAAGGCAGGUGAUACCCUCGUUCUCCCAUGGGGAAACUCCAGCCUAGAGGUCAGGGGACUUGACAAAAGCACACAUGAAUGGUAGAGCCAAGCCUGCCUGUCUGCAAAUUCCUACUUUUGGUCUCUCUGCUGCCCUUUCAGCCCUGCCCCCAGGCUUCAGUUUGGGAGGCCCCUCAUCUGCACCUCACCCCCAGUGCCUCUGUCCUCACCUGUGCAGUGCUGGUUUGCAGGUUAACACCUGCAGGCUCCUCUGGGGCACAUUACUCUUGCUUGCUGUGUUCUGUGGCCACCACACUACCUUGGUUCUGGGGCUUGGCCGUUUUGAGGGUAGAAUCUCUGAAUGUCAGGGAAUUCAGUCUUGAAAAAUUUCCGCUUUGCUGGUAAAAGGAACGCCUCCAUUCUUUUCUCAGCUCAAGCAAACGUAGAUCACUGUCAGGGAACACAGUAUCAGCAAUUUCCCCUUCUCUUCAGAGCAUGGGACUGGACUGGAGAUCCCAUCUUUGGCUUCAAUAUUAAUAUCCAGGGAGUUACCACUUCCUUUCUAAACAAGGGAUGCUGCCUUUGGAGGAUGGUGCCCUGAUCUUGGAAGAGCCAGGUUACCCACGUUUACAGGGACUCUGUCAAAUGAAAAGGUGAAGACCUCAGGCACAGAAAAGCUCCUGCUCCAGGCUACACUGAUCUUUCCUAACCUCCUCAAACACAGCAGUCCUGGAGGGAAGCUAAGCAAAGACAGGCCUGCCUCAUAGUUUUUUUCAAACCCAUUCGUUUGAUUUGGUUUUGAUUAGAGUAGGCUAGUCAACAAUGAGCAAAGCCUUUCACAAAAGCCAAAAACAUACGGAAAUUCCAAAUUGGUGUUUAAAAUUCAAAAUUUGGCCCAAGAAUCUUACUCUACAAGAAAGAAAUCUGCAUUUGUAUAUUCUUUCUCAGUUACUCGAGAACAGACUUCCGUAUAUUCUAAUCAAAGGCCUUGGGUCCCAGAGGCUGUGUUGGUCUGGUUCCUGACAGCCCUUGAAUUCCAGCUUCUAAUCUUUUGCAGAUCUCACUAUGUGCAGACUAAACUAGAGAUGUCUUCAAAGGCAGCUCUCUAGACUUGUAUGUGCUGGCUGUUUUCUGGGCUCAAGUUCAUGCCAUGAUUGUCUGACCCAUCUUCCCUGGAGAGGCAGAUUUCUUCCAUUCCAGUCUUUAAUCAUUAUCUGUGUUAGGCUUGACCAACCUUUCUGAAGGACAAUUGAUUUUAAAUAGUAGUCACAGGCUUAAGUAUAGUCUACAAAGCAGAUUUUUAUUACACUGUAGUGAAAGGGCACACAUAAAAGUGCAUGUGAAUCACAGAAGGCAGGCGAGAGAAGGGGGUCAGCUCAGGACAGGAAGAGAAUAAAUUUGUCCACAAAUUACAUAAUCCACAAAUUACAUAAUACAUUAGCAAGUAACACAUUCG